Molecule: long non-coding RNA, 552 nt
Organism: Lactuca sativa (garden lettuce)
Lineage: Eukaryota; Viridiplantae; Streptophyta; Magnoliopsida; Asterales; Asteraceae
Source: RefSeq, a predicted model, not a curated record
UUUUUUGUUUUUCUUUUUAAAUGGUUUUCAAUUUUCAAAUUUCAAUAUCCUAAAUAAAUAACCGUUCAGAAGGCCUUUAACCUAAUCGGCCGGAUCGAAACAAGCUUGUUAAUCUCAGCCGUCUAUUAUAUCAACAAUCGGAUCUAACCAGGUUGCCCUUCCUCUAUAUAACAACUCGUUUCCUCUUUCCCGAACUCAGCUUUCAAUUAGGGUUUACGUUUUAUCAAACAUCUGAUUAUUUCUCCGCCGUUGGAGUCUACAAGAUUAUGUUUGUUAAACUUUCCGUCCAAGACUGGUUAUUCACAUAAUAGGUGAAAAGACCAUAACCGGUAUUGUAGCUUGCUUGGAACCGAUAACCAUGCAUAUAAAGUGGUGCCUGGUCUCCUUCCGGUUGCUCAACCUAGCUAGAACUAAAAAAAAUAAGUUUUUAUUUUGGGUUAAGUAAGUUGUUUGGCUAAAAAAAACUUUUACCAUAUUUUCUAUGUUCAUUGAUAGCAAUUAUCGUUAAUGUUUAUGAGAAGCUCUAACAUGGUAUGAAGUCGGGUUUACAGA